This 1419-nucleotide ribosomal RNA is filed under the name Limosilactobacillus fermentum. RNAcentral describes it as "bacterial SSU rRNA". It matches the Rfam family "Bacterial small subunit ribosomal RNA". The record is from RNAcentral. Lineage: Bacteria; Bacillati; Bacillota; Bacilli; Lactobacillales; Lactobacillaceae.
UUGAUUGAUGGUGCUUGCACCUGAUUGAUUUUGGUCGCCAACGAGUGGCGGACGGGUGAGUAACACGUAGGUAACCUGCCCAGAAGCGGGGGACAACAUUUGGAAACAGAUGCUAAUACCGCAUAACAGCGUUGUUCGCAUGAACAACGCUUAAAAGAUGGCUUCUCGCUAUCACUUCUGGAUGGACCUGCGGUGCAUUAGCUUGUUGGUGGGGUAACGGCCUACCAAGGCGAUGAUGCAUAGCCGAGUUGAGAGACUGAUCGGCCACAAUGGGACUGAGACACGGCCCAUACUCCUACGGGAGGCAGCAGUAGGGAAUCUUCCACAAUGGGCGCAAGCCUGAUGGAGCAACACCGCGUGAGUGAAGAAGGGUUUCGGCUCGUAAAGCUCUGUUGUUAAAGAAGAACACGUAUGAGAGUAACUGUUCAUACGUUGACGGUAUUUAACCAGAAAGUCACGGCUAACUACGUGCCAGCAGCCGCGGUAAUACGUAGGUGGCAAGCGUUAUCCGGAUUUAUUGGGCGUAAAGAGAGUGCAGGCGGUUUUCUAAGUCUGAUGUGAAAGCCUUCGGCUUAACCGGAGAAGUGCAUCGGAAACUGGAUAACUUGAGUGCAGAAGAGGGUAGUGGAACUCCAUGUGUAGCGGUGGAAUGCGUAGAUAUAUGGAAGAACACCAGUGGCGAAGGCGGCUACCUGGUCUGCAACUGACGCUGAGACUCGAAAGCAUGGGUAGCGAACAGGAUUAGAUACCCUGGUAGUCCAUGCCGUAAACGAUGAGUGCUAGGUGUUGGAGGGUUUCCGCCCUUCAGUGCCGGAGCUAACGCAUUAAGCACUCCGCCUGGGGAGUACGACCGCAAGGUUGAAACUCAAAGGAAUUGACGGGGGCCCGCACAAGCGGUGGAGCAUGUGGUUUAAUUCGAAGCUACGCGAAGAACCUUACCAGGUCUUGACAUCUUGCGCCAACCCUAGAGAUAGGGCGUUUCCUUCGGGAACGCAAUGACAGGUGGUGCAUGGUCGUCGUCAGCUCGUGUCGUGAGAUGUUGGGUUAAGUCCCGCAACGAGCGCAACCCUUGUUACUAGUUGCCAGCAUUAAGUUGGGCACUCUAGUGAGACUGCCGGUGACAAACCGGAGGAAGGUGGGGACGACGUCAGAUCAUCAUGCCCCUUAUGACCUGGGCUACACACGUGCUACAAUGGACGGUACAACGAGUCGCGAACUCGCGAGGGCAAGCAAAUCUCUUAAAACCGUUCUCAGUUCGGACUGCAGGCUGCAACUCGCCUGCACGAAGUCGGAAUCGCUAGUAAUCGCGGAUCAGCAUGCCGCGGUGAAUACGUUCCCGGGCCUUGUACACACCGCCCGUCACACCAUGAGAGUUUGUAACACCCAAAGUCGGUGGGGUAACCUUUUAGGAGCCAGCCG